Molecule: transfer RNA, 90 nt
Filed under: Richelia sp. RM2_1_2
Lineage: Bacteria; Bacillati; Cyanobacteriota; Cyanophyceae; Nostocales; Nostocaceae
Description: tRNA-Met
Rfam family: tRNA
About the family: Transfer RNA (tRNA) molecules are approximately 80 nucleotides in length.
Source: RNAcentral
UGCGAAGUAGAGUAGUGGUCUAACUCACCAGUCUCAUAAGCUGGACUUACCUAAAAAGGGUAGGCAUUGGUUCGAAUCCAAUUUUCGCUA